GAUGAACGCUGGCGGCGUGCCUAAUACAUGCAAGUCGAGCGAACGGACGAGAAGCUUGCUUCUCUGAUGUUAGCGGCGGACGGGUGAGUAACACGUGGAUAACCUACCUAUAAGGCUGGGAUACUUCGGGAAACCGGAGCUAAUACCGGAUGAUAUUUUGAACCGCAUGGUUCAAAGGUGAAAGACGGUCUUGCUGUCACUUAUAGAUGGAUCCGCGCUGCAUUAGCUAGUUGGUAAGGUAACGGCUUACCAAGGCAACGAUGCAUAGCCGACCUGAGAGGGUGAUCGGCCACACUGGAACUGAGACACGGUCCAGACUCCUACGGGAGGCAGCAGUAGGGAAUCUUCCGCAAUGGGCGAAAGCCUGACGGAGCAACGCCGCGUGAGUGAUGAAGGUCUUCGGAUCGUAAAACUCUGUUAUUAGGGAAGAACAUAUGUGUAAGUAACUGUGCACAUCUUGACGGUACCUAAUCAGAAAGCCACGGCUAACUACGUG
Molecule: ribosomal RNA, 496 nt
Filed under: uncultured bacterium
Lineage: Bacteria
Description: partial 16S ribosomal RNA
Rfam family: Bacterial small subunit ribosomal RNA
Source: RNAcentral